Molecule: long non-coding RNA, 1819 nt
Organism: Falco tinnunculus (common kestrel)
Lineage: Eukaryota; Metazoa; Chordata; Aves; Falconiformes; Falconidae
Source: Ensembl
AUGGAUGCAUUUGAGGGCCCCUCUUGCAGAAUGAAUGAAUGUGGAGAAUCUUGGAAGAUAUGGCUCCAAAUUUUUUCCAAAUUCAUUCUGUUCCCAUCUAUCCUUGCAGAGGAUUUAGAUGAUCAAGCACCAUACAGCAAUGAUUUCCGAAGCAUAUUUCUUAGUAGUCUUUUUUCUUUCUUGGGUAACACGAUCUGCUGUGCCUGCGUGCUUGUUGGCUUCCUGUGGCAAAUGGCGAUAGUGGAGUUCGGCCGCAUGGAAACGAGAGGCUGCGGGAGGGGUCUGCAAUGCGAACUGGGGGUUCUGGACACAGUUCGGCAUGUGCUGCACAUACUUGGUGUGCUUGGCCAGAGCUCGCCUGGCUUUUUGAGCCUGGGAGGUCACCUGCUGGUGGCUCAGCCUCGGUGCACCCCGACACGGCUCCCGAGGCCGGUGCCAGCAGCGCCUGCGGCUGCUGGGGACCCCCCGAGCCCCGGCUGCUGCCCCCGGAGCGGAGCACCCCGAGCGCUCGGAUGUACCAGCGAAGCUGGCGUCAGCACCAAGCCUUCCUCUGGGCUGGCCAGUCCUGUCUCCGGAGGUGUGGAACAGCAAUUUUACGUGGUGAUGAAAAAAGGCAGGCACAAUGUUGAACAAACCUGAUUACAGUGGCAUAAGGACCUUUGCAAGAAGGGAAAUACUUGGUGAAGAAAGAAGGCAUCCUGAAUCCGACAUGCAGGGCGUAAAAACCCGCCGGUGACUGGAAAUGACUUGCUGUUGCCUCUCCUGGAAGGGAUGAGAAGACAGAGGAUUGGAAAGUCUGGAUAUCAUUUGCCUAGACCACCGAAGUUAGGGAGGAAAGAGAGAGAAUUAGCGGAAUGUCAAGUGACUUUCUGCUCAUGAGACAGGCACAGUCCAGGUUCACCGUGACUCUCUCACCACCACCACGGUGACCCCUGCACACAUCUCUGCUUUUGCUACAGAUCCUGAAACCGUGUAGCUGACUCAGCGGGGAGCGAAUCUCCCCAAGUUCUCAAUGUUUAACCUGUUCCUGUGCUGAUUACGACGUAGGAAACCCUGUGUUGUCCCAGGCAUCACCCAUUUGCUUCAUGGGGGAAGGGAAAUAAAGCAGCGUUUGUUUGCACUAAGGGAUUAAAACGCUUCUAUUUAGUACGCUAGCUGCCCUGCAUUGCUGAAAUCCUACCGAAGCACACCUGUAACCUGAAAUUCGCACUGUUUGCCCACCAGGUCUGUUUGCAUAGUGCUCUCCCUGUUGUUACCCGGCUGGAUCCCGCCCCUGCUCCGCGUGGCGCAGCACUGCGGCCCUCGAUCCGCUGCACCGAGGUGUUAGGGUGUGCGAGGGGGGGUCGGGUAUUUGGUGGCUUGUGGUAGAAGCCCAGAGCGUAUGUUCCCGUGAUCCCUUCUUGACCCUCCUCUGCCGAAGCACCUCCAACAGUUUGUGCUGCUAGCGUUGCUCCCCGUGCCACCCAGGGACGCCACUUCGGCUGUCCCCCACCUGUGCGGCUGUCCGGUAUCUUUCCUGCACCCGGGGCCGGAGCUGGCGCCCGGCAGCCCGCGGCGCUGUCCCCGCAGCCGGGGCAGCGCUCGCCCCGACCCGCACCGACUUCCAGGCCCGUGCCCGGCGGGGCGGCCCCCGGUGCCGAUCGCUGCUCUCGGGCGCCGCCGGCUCCGCGUCUCCGGGACCCCCCCGCGUUGCACAGCCAUGGGGGUCCCCGUCCCGCCGCCUGCGCCCGGCCCCGCCGUGCCCAGGCCCCCGCCGCCGGCUCCGCAGCCCUGCCCCGGCCACCCCCGGCCCGGCCCGCUCCCCGCCGCGGGGCGGCUG